Molecule: ribosomal RNA, 492 nt
Filed under: uncultured bacterium
Lineage: Bacteria
Description: partial 16S ribosomal RNA
Rfam family: Bacterial small subunit ribosomal RNA
Source: RNAcentral
AGUGAACGCUGGCGGUAGGCCUAACACAUGCAAGUCGAACGGCAGCACAGUAAGAGCUUGCUCUUACGGGUGGCGAGUGGCGGACGGGUGAGGAAUACAUCGGAAUCUACUUUUUCGUGGGGGAUAACGUAGGGAAACUUACGCUAAUACCGCAUACGACCUACGGGUGAAAGCAGGGGAUCUUCGGACCUUGCGCGAUUGAAUGGGCCGAUGUCGGAUUAGCUAGUUGGCGGGGUAAAGGCCCACCAAGGCGACGAUCCGUAGCUGGUCUGAGAGGAUGAUCAGCCACAAUGGAACUGAGACACGGUCCAGACUCCUAAGGGAGGCAGCAGUGGGGAAUAUUGGACAAUGGGCGCAAGCCUGAUCCAGCCAUACCGCGUGGGUGAAGAAGGCCUUCGGGUUGUAAAGCCCUUUUGGUGGGAAAGAAAAGCAGCAGGUUAAUACCCCGCUGUUCUGACGGUACCCAAAGAAUAAGCACCGGCUAACUUCGUG